RNAcentral lists this ribosomal RNA (260 nucleotides) under uncultured bacterium. RNAcentral's name for it is "partial 16S ribosomal RNA". It matches the Rfam family "Archaeal small subunit ribosomal RNA", at positions 744 to 1004 of the family's 1478-position model. The record is from RNAcentral.
GUCCUAGCCGUAAACACUGUGAGCUAAAUACGGCGUAAACUUCGUGUUUGCGCUGUAUUGAAACGAAGGUGAAAGCUCACCACCUGGGAAGUAUCGUCGCAAGGCUGAAACUUAAAGGAAUUGGCGGGGGAGCACUACAAGGGGUGCGGCGUGCGGUUUAAUUGAAUUCAACGCCGGAAAUCUCACCAGGAGCGACGGCAGGAUGAAGGCCAGUCUAAAGGGCUUGCCUGACGAGCCGAGAGGUAUUGCAUGGCCGCCGU